AGUGAACGCUGGCGGUAGGCCUAACACAUGCAAGUCGAACGGCAGCACAGUAAGAGCUUGCUCUUACGGGUGGCGAGUGGCGGACGGGUGAGGAACACAUCGGAAUCUACUUUUUCGUGGGGGAUAACGUAGGGAAACUUACGCUAAUACCGCAUACGACCUACGGGUGAAAGCAGGGGAUUUUCGGACCUUGCGCGAUUGAAUGAGCCGAUGUGGGAUUAGCUAGUUGGCGGGGUAAAGGCCCACCAAGGCGACGAUCCGUAGCUGGUCUGAGAGGAUGGUCAGCCACACGGGAACUGAGACACGGUCCAGACUCCUGCGGGAGGCAGCAGUGGGGAAUAGUGGGCAAUGGGGGGAAGCCUGAUCCAGCGAUACCGCGUGGGUGGAGGAGGCCUUCGGGGUGUAAAGCCCUUUUGUUGGGAAAGAAAAGCAGCAGGUUAAUACCCCGCUGUUCUGACGGUACCCGAAGAAUAAGCACCGGCUAACUUCGUG
Molecule: ribosomal RNA, 492 nt
Filed under: uncultured bacterium
Lineage: Bacteria
Description: partial 16S ribosomal RNA
Rfam family: Bacterial small subunit ribosomal RNA
Source: RNAcentral